RNAcentral lists this ribosomal RNA (253 nucleotides) under uncultured bacterium. RNAcentral describes it as "partial 16S ribosomal RNA". It matches the Rfam family "Bacterial small subunit ribosomal RNA", at positions 524 to 776 of the family's 1533-position model. The record is from RNAcentral.
UACGUAGGGACCAAGCGUUGUUCGGAUUUACUGGGCGUAAAGGGCGCGUAGGCGGCAAUUCAAGUCAUCUGUGAAAUCUCCGAGCUUAACUCGGAACGGUCAGAUGAUACUGCUUUGCUAGAGUACAGAAGGGGCAAUCGGAAUUCUUGGUGUAGCGGUGAAAUGCGUAGAUAUCAAGAGGAACACCUGAGGUGAAGACGGGUUGCUGGGCUGAUACUGACGCUGAGGCGCGAAAGCGUGGGGAGCGAACAGG